UUAAUAGAAGCCAAAAAGAGGCUAUUCACUGUUAAUGAAUAUACUGAUUUCAUUAAAUCCUAUUAAG
This is a non-coding RNA of Ornithodoros turicata, 67 nucleotides long. The record is from the annotation of a RefSeq genome assembly. NCBI's taxonomy places the organism in Eukaryota, Metazoa, Arthropoda, Arachnida, Ixodida, Argasidae.